UUGUGAUUGUGGUGGUGUUGGGUGGGGGGGGUACAUUGUGGGUAAGAGGGCGGAAUUAAAUUGCCCACAGAAGUCAUCUCUUCCUCUCAUAUUUUCACUCUCUGCCUCUUUUGGAGCCAGGAAGACAGGCAGCCAGCAGCAGCAGCAGCACAAGGGCAUGUGUGUGGCAGGGGAUGUUGCUGGUUCCGCCUUCAGCAGCAGUCGAGGCACACCAUUGUCCAAUCGCCUCAUCAACCUCCCCAUAAAAGCCUGGUCACCUAUCCACUACGUUGCCAGAUAAUUCCAUCUCGUUUGAUCUUCCGGUUUGCCUCACUGCUGCUGCUGCUUCCGCGUCUCCAGUGACUGAGAUUUCCCAUGUGCUCGGUCCUCGUGUUUUCAUUCUCUACUAGCCACAAGCCGACCAGCUCCCUGCCCUCCAGUUAGUGUUUUUUCCUAGUUGUUGGAAAAAAAACUUUGUUUAAUUUUUUACUUACCUGUGCCAGUCUCCUUUUUGGGUUCCAACCUAAAAUAAAAACUAGCAUGUGUCCUCCGGUGCUCCUAA
Sebastes umbrosus (honeycomb rockfish) is the source of this 541-nucleotide long non-coding RNA. RefSeq lists it as uncharacterized. NCBI's taxonomy places the organism in Eukaryota, Metazoa, Chordata, Actinopteri, Perciformes, Sebastidae. The transcript has 3 exons. The record is from RefSeq and is a predicted model, not a curated record.